UUCAAUCUUAUACCUAGAUUUUAGCAGAGAUGCAGGCCUAGCCCCCCUAUGGACCAACGUUUUUCAAAUGUGAAAAUACAAUUCCAUGUGAAAUUGUUCACAUGUGAAAUUGCAAAUGUUCUUUUCACAUGUGAAUGUUUUUCAUGUAAAUUC
This is a small nucleolar RNA of Salvelinus fontinalis (brook trout), 153 nucleotides long. The record is from RefSeq and is a predicted model, not a curated record. NCBI's taxonomy places the organism in Eukaryota, Metazoa, Chordata, Actinopteri, Salmoniformes, Salmonidae.